Molecule: ribosomal RNA, 1233 nt
Filed under: Staphylococcus aureus
Lineage: Bacteria; Bacillati; Bacillota; Bacilli; Caryophanales; Staphylococcaceae
Description: bacterial SSU rRNA
Rfam family: Bacterial small subunit ribosomal RNA
Source: RNAcentral
UUUGAUCCUGGCUCAGGAUGAACGCUGGCGGCGUGCCUAAUACAUGCAAGUCGAGCGAACGGACGAGAAGCUUGCUUCUCUGAUGUUAGCGGCGGACGGGUGAGUAACACGUGGAUAACCUACCUAUAAGACUGGGAUAACUUCGGGAAACCGGAGCUAAUACCGGAUAAUAUUUUGAACCGCAUGGUUCAAAAGUGAAAGACGGUCUUGCUGUCACUUAUAGAUGGAUCCGCGCUGCAUUAGCUAGUUGGUAAGGUAACGGCUUACCAAGGCAACGAUGCAUAGCCGACCUGAGAGGGUGAUCGGCCACACUGGAACUGAGACACGGUCCAGACUCCUACGGGAGGCAGCAGUAGGGAAUCUUCCGCAAUGGGCGAAAGCCUGACGGAGCAACGCCGCGUGAGUGAUGAAGGUCUUCGGAUCGUAAAACUCUGUUAUUAGGGAAGAACAUAUGUGUAAGUAACUGUGCACAUCUUGACGGUACCUAAUCAGAAAGCCACGGCUAACUACGUGCCAGCAGCCGCGGUAAUACGUAGGUGGCAAGCGUUAUCCGGAAUUAUUGGGCGUAAAGCGCGCGUAGGCGGUUUUUUAAGUCUGAUGUGAAAGCCCACGGCUCAACCGUGGAGGGUCAUUGGAAACUGGAAAACUUGAGUGCAGAAGAGGAAAGUGGAAUUCCAUGUGUAGCGGUGAAAUGCGCAGAGAUAUGGAGGAACACCAGUGGCGAAGGCGACUUUCUGGUCUGUAACUGACGCUGAUGUGCGAAAGCGUGGGGAUCAAACAGGAUUAGAUACCCUGGUAGUCCACGCCGUAAACGAUGAGUGCUAAGUGUUAGGGGGUUUCCGCCCCUUAGUGCUGCAGCUAACGCAUUAAGCACUCCGCCUGGGGAGUACGACCGCAAGGUUGAAACUCAAAGGAAUUGACGGGGACCCGCACAAGCGGUGGAGCAUGUGGUUUAAUUCGAAGCAACGCGAAGAACCUUACCAAAUCUUGACAUCCUUUGACAACUCUAGAGAUAGAGCCUUCCCCUUCGGGGGACAAAGUGACAGGUGGUGCAUGGUUGUCGUCAGCUCGUGUCGUGAGAUGUUGGGUUAAGUCCCGCAACGAGCGCAACCCUUAAGCUUAGUUGCCAUCAUUAAGUUGGGCACUCUAAGUUGACUGCCGGUGACAAACCGGAGGAAGGUGGGGAUGACGUCAAAUCAUCAUGCCCCUUAUGAUUUGGGCUACACACGUGCU